This 766-nucleotide long non-coding RNA is filed under the name Sorghum bicolor (sorghum). Its description in RNAcentral is "long non-coding RNA (SBIC_LNC016831)". Lineage: Eukaryota; Viridiplantae; Streptophyta; Magnoliopsida; Poales; Poaceae. The record is from RNAcentral.
AAAGGGUAACGACGGUGUUACCAGAAAAAGGCAUGCAGUGUGUGAGGGCAUAUAUAUGCAUCUCAGCAGCAUCGAUCGUGUGGCCUAGGAUUAACUGAUAUGCAUGUUUCAAUUCCAAUCGAGCUGAGAUGUGUAUCGUCUAAAUGCGUCGUCGAGAGGGAUUGAGAUUUGGUGGGUGAUGGAUUGUGAUUUUGUGUGUCGCCACGAUCACACGACUCCUUGCAUGCAUUGUUCCAAUUCCAAUUUUGUGGACCACCGGCCGGCUACACCGUACCAUGGUGGACCUAGCUAUAUAGCGAUAGAUCAUCGAUGUGCCAACAUCCAUCCAUAUCAUCAGCCUGCAGCUUAUAUUCAUUCUUUAAUUCUUCAUUCAUCGAUAUCGACCACCCCCAUGCCGGCCUGUUACCAAGAAAGCUUGUUGUUGCAUUGGUCCCUAGCUACUCCCUAGAGCUACUAGUAGAUGCCACACUGAUAUAUUCUCUUUUUUUUUGAGAUUACACAGUACAACGCAGACACUCAACACGUACGCACACUCACCCCUAUGAACACACGUACGCAAACCCUACCCCUAUGAGCACCUUCGAAGGACUGAGCCGGCAAAUUUUGAAGUUCACGAAGUCCUCGCUGUCGAGGGGCACGUCGCCUACCACUUAAUGCAUAGCGCCAGAAAAUCCUAGAAUAAAUCCAGAAUAAAGUGCCGCACCCAGGAUUUGAACCCUGGGUGGGAGCCCCCCAACCAAUGGCCUUUGCCAUUGCGCCGUGAACC